CAUCACUACGCUAGAUGCAUAUCAAUAAGCGGAGGAAAAGAAACUAACAAGGAUUCCCUAGUAACGGCGAGUGAAGCGGGAAGAGCUCAAAUUUGAAAUCUUAAAGGGUUUCCCUUUACGAAUUGUAGUUUAAAGAAGUGUUUUCUGUUGGAGUUUCGGUAAAAGUUCUUUGGAAUAGGACAUCAUAGAGGGUGAGAAUCCCGUAUUUGACCGUUACUUUCCAGCUGUGUGAUACACUUUCAAAGAGUCGGAUUGUUUGGGAAUGCAGUCCAAAAUGGGUGGUAAAUUUCAUCUAAAGCUAAAUAUUGGCGAGAGACCGAUAGCGAACAAGUACCGUGAGGGAAAGAUGAAAAGAACUUUGAAAAGAGAGUUAAACAGUACGUGAAAUUGUCAAAAGGGAAGCGUUUGACACCAGUGUUGUUUUUCCGAAAAUCAAUUACGAAUGUUUUAUUUUUGAGAAGUUAUGACUUCAUCGGCUUGCUUCUCUCUUUAUGAAACUUUCUUAAUGCACUUUUCGGUUAACAAGUCAACAUCAAUUUCUUUUGUUGUAAAAGGGUAAGAGGAAGGUGGCUUACGUUUCGGCGUAAGUGUUUAUAGCCUUUUACCUCUGCAAUCGGAGAGAUUGAGGACAGCAGCGUAGACUCCUUCUGGGGUUAGAUACACUUGUGCUAAGCUAUAGCCUUGUAUAGACAACUUGUUGACUAUGCUCAGUCAUGUAGCUUACUCGCUUGUGCUAUUUUACCUACGCUUAGGAUGUUGAAGAUAUGCGCGACACG
Molecule: ribosomal RNA, 776 nt
Filed under: uncultured Neocallimastigales
Lineage: Eukaryota; Fungi; Neocallimastigomycota; Neocallimastigomycetes; Neocallimastigales
Description: partial large subunit ribosomal RNA
Rfam family: Eukaryotic large subunit ribosomal RNA
Source: RNAcentral